Long non-coding RNA from Macrobrachium nipponense, 1015 nucleotides. RefSeq lists it as uncharacterized. The record is from RefSeq and is a predicted model, not a curated record. The transcript is spliced from 3 exons. NCBI's taxonomy places the organism in Eukaryota, Metazoa, Arthropoda, Malacostraca, Decapoda, Palaemonidae.
AAAAACUGUUAAAUGUGGGUGUAGCCUAAAUUAUCGGUGACUUAUGCGUGAGACUAAGUCAAUACCUAUUCUCAUCUCAACUUGCGCAAUGAUGUUGUAACAGCUCAUUGCGGAAGUCGUCAUGGAGUCGAUAUCAGCUGACUUUUCGUUUUUUGUUGAGCCCAAGCCCUGUGACUUUAGGAGAUUGAUCACCAAACCCAGGCUUUAUAUUAUAGGCAGCCAAGGAACACGAAUCACUUGUGGGGAAGGUUGCAUAGUAAUGACGUCACCUAUUGAUUGUCCCAGGCGCAUUCAGUCAAGCAUGCACAAAAAUAUUUAUGCAAAUAUAACUUUUUAAUAAAAAAAUUGUUUCUCCAAUGAUAUUUCAUCUGAAUGUUCAUAUUUAGUUAAGCUGAUCCUUGAAUUUGUAUGCGUAUGGACUUUUAUGUCUCGGGCUCCACGAUCCUUGGACACGGAAGUGGAAGAACGGCGAAGGUCCAUAGCUAAUUGUGUGUAAAUAUGGCGAAAGGGACGUCACUUCAAGUCAAGGAUGUUCAUAAGGUGUACGAAAUUAAACAGAGGAGAAUUCAUGGUGGAAGAAGCCUAACUUAAGGUUAUAAUAAGUGAUUCUAGUGUCCAUUCAAUAUUAAGACUGGCUUUCUGAGAGGUGAAGUUCCUAUUGACAACACUGAACCAGCUUUACUCUGAGGUUCUCUAGUCACCUGCGACUCGAGUGUCUCCUGCCUCGACCUGCGGCAUGGGUACUUCGAUACGAGACAGGUGCUCCUGUCACCUGCGACUUGAGCCAUUCCUGCCUUUCCCUGACGAGGAGGUAUUCUCAGGGAAUGGUGCCGUCGCUUUCUCCCGGCACUGACGGGAAUUUGCCUGCCGCUUCUACGUCUCCAUCAAGCUGCUGUGGACUUGGGAGCUUGCUAGCUCGUGAGAUGGCCUGUAGGUAGGCAGACGUCAGGUAGGACUAAAAUAUCACUGAUUUUCGUUCAGGAUCGCUCUGUUUGCUGAUUCGGAGUUUGAAUCA